This is a non-coding RNA of Odocoileus virginianus texanus, 359 nucleotides long. Lineage: Eukaryota; Metazoa; Chordata; Mammalia; Artiodactyla; Cervidae. The record is from RefSeq and is a predicted model, not a curated record.
AAAAUGUCCACUGAGGCACAGAGAGUCGACGACAGUCCGGGCACUAGUGGGGGAAGCUCCGAUGGAGACCAGCGUGAGAGUGUCCAGCGGGAACCAGAGAGAGAGCAGGUUCAGCCCAGGAAGAAGGAGGGGAAGAUAUCCAGCAAAACAGCUGCCAAACUGUCUACUAGUGCUAAAAGAAUUCAGAAGGAACUUGCAGAAAUUACGUUGGACCCACCCCCCAACUGUAGUGCUGGACCCAAAGGAGACAACAUUUAUGAAUGGAGGUCAACUAUAUUGGGACCCCCAGGAUCUGUCUAUGAAGGAGGGGUGUUCUUUCUUGACAUAACCUUUUCACCUGACUAUCCGUUUAAACCCCC